GAUGAACGCUGGCGGCGUGCCUAAUACAUGCAAGUCGAGCGAACGGACGAGAAGCUUGCUUUUCUGAUGUUAGCGGCGGACGGGUGAGUAACACGUGGAUAACCUACCUAUAAGACUGGGAUAACUUCGGGAAACCGGAGCUAAUACCGGAUAAUAUUUUGAACCGCAUGGUUCAAAAGUGAAAGACGGUCUUGCUGUCACUUAUAGAUGGAUCCGCGCUGCAUUAGCUAGUUGGUAAGGUAACGGCUUACCAAGGCAACGAUGCAUAGCCGACCUGAGAGGGUGAUCGGCCACACUGGAACUGAGACACGGUCCAGACUCCUACGGGAGGCAGCAGUAGGGAAUCUUCCGCAAUGGGCGAAAGCCUGACGGAGCAACGCCGCGUGAGUGAUGAAGGUCUUCGGUUCGUAAAACUCUGUUAUUAGGGAAGAACAUAUGUGUAAGUAACUGUGCACAUCUUGACGGUACCUAAUCAGAAAGCCACGGCUAACUACGUG
RNAcentral lists this ribosomal RNA (497 nucleotides) under uncultured bacterium. RNAcentral describes it as "partial 16S ribosomal RNA". It matches the Rfam family "Bacterial small subunit ribosomal RNA", at positions 28 to 507 of the family's 1533-position model. The record is from RNAcentral.